AAGCGUGCGCAGGCGGUUAUACAAGACAGGCGUGAAAUCCCCGGGCUUAACCUGGGAAUGGCGUCUGUGACUGUAUGACUAGAGUGUGUCAGAGGGGGGUAGGAAUUCCACGUGUAGCAGUGAAAUGCGUAGAUAUGUGGAGGAAUACCAAUGGCGAAGGCAGCCCCCUGGGAUAACACUGACGCUCAUGCACGAAAGCGUGGGGAGCAAACAGGAUUAGAUACCCUGGU
Molecule: ribosomal RNA, 230 nt
Filed under: uncultured bacterium
Lineage: Bacteria
Description: partial 16S ribosomal RNA
Rfam family: Bacterial small subunit ribosomal RNA
Source: RNAcentral